AGAGACCAAAAUCAGAGGCGGCUCCUCUACUGUUCUUCUUCUUCAGUGAACUCGCCACAACUUGCCUGAGUUUUGAGCGAGUUCACUCAUUAGUCCCCCCCUCCACGUCACCUCAUCCUCAACGGAUUUUUCAGAGGAAUACUAAUUUUCUCUCCGAAUUGCACGAUUCUUGUACAAAAGGACGAUUUGUUGGACUAAUGGGAGACGUGGAUAGAUGUGAAUCAAUCAACGCCCUCCAUUUGUCCCGAUUGUUCAAAAAUCUGAACAUUUUCGGAUAUUUGAGAAGAAGAUUCGAGAAUUUUCGAGGGUUUAUAUAUAGGAGGUAAGUCUUCUUUUUAGGGGAGAAGAAAAAAUUAGAAAAUAAAUCAGGAAUAAAUCUUCAGAAAAAAAUCGAGUCAAGUUUCUAGGGUUUGAAGUCACCAUUUUCUUCAAGCCAUUCUUUCUUCAGUCUUUUUAAAAAAAAAAACAAUAUGGUCUAAGUUCGAUUUCGAUUUAAACUUUUUUGUAGUUCAUUUUUCAGAAGAAAAAUCGAGGAAGAAAUCGGAGCACUGGUUUUUCUUCUUGAGUUCUGGUUCUAAAAAGAAUUUGAUUUAAAAGUUCAGUUUGGAGUUGAGUUUUAGAGUUCAAAGUUUCAGUGUUGAUUUUGUUCAGGCUCGUCGAUUCAUAUCUCUUGCUGCUCCUUUCUAGCUUUUUGUCUUAGGCUCAUUUUUGUUUGUUUCUGGUGUUUCAUUGUUGCUUGCUGCAUUAGGUAUGCAAAAAUAACAUGUGAUUCUCUUUUUUUAAAAUAUAAAAUGAUGUUCUUAAUUAUUCGAUUCUAUGACCAUGCCUAUUGUUUGAGUUUUUGACGUAUUUGUUUGGUUCCCUAUGUCGAUUAUGCCUUCUGUCAGUUGUUCUUGUCAAAGCUUUGCCUCUACUCGUUCAUUAGUUGAGCUUUCUUCUUUUUGUUGUUUGAAAAAUAAAAAUGAUAUGAUUCUAGUUUUGAAUGUGUUAAUAGUGAUUCAUUUUGUUGAAGCAUGUUGGUCGUCUAUAUCUCAUCCCGUCGAGGCCUCCGUUUGUGAUUCUUUGAAGACUUGGAGAGGUUUCUCUUUAAGCAUGAUAUAAUCCGCAGUUUAUUUCAUAAAACUGCAGGAGGUGAUGAUCAGUAGUCUACAAUACUUUGAUUUAUUUAUAAAUUCUGUGUCAUCAAAGGAAGAUACUUUAGAGCUAGUUGACAUUGGUACUAUAAGGCUAGUGUAGCAUGGAUUUCCAAACUUGAUAGUAUUUAAGUUGUUACUAGUAUAAGAGUCUUCAGAUUUCUGUUGUUUUCCAAGUAAAAGGAACUUUUCUUCCUAGUUCAAAAAAUCGAUUUUAAGGGAAUUGCUAUAGAGCUAAUAAAGAGUGUGAUGGGCUGCUUGUGAAAUUGAAUUGGGCAUGGUUGGUAGCUGGUAAAUGUGGCUAUAUUCCCGUUUUUGUUGCUGCUGCUCAUGUAUGCCUCUCUUUAUAAUAACUUCUAGAUUUUAAUUUGAUUAUGGGACUUUUAGUUGGUAAUGGUUUAACAUAGGCUAUGGCAUAAUCUCUUCUCUUCUUUUAAAAAU
Molecule: long non-coding RNA, 1574 nt
Filed under: Nicotiana tabacum (common tobacco)
Lineage: Eukaryota; Viridiplantae; Streptophyta; Magnoliopsida; Solanales; Solanaceae
Description: long non-coding RNA (NTAB_LNC000381)
Source: RNAcentral